AACGAACGCUGGCGGCAGGCUUAACACAUGCAAGUCGAACGCCCCGCAAGGGGCGUGGCAGACGGGUGAGUAACGCGUGGGAACGUACCGUUCAGUUCGGAACAACUCAGGGAGACAUGUGCUAAUACCGGAUACGUCCGUAAGGAGAAAGAUUUAUCGCUGAAAGAUCGGCCCGCGUUGGAUUAGAUAGUUGGUGGGGUAAUGGCCUACCAAGGCGACGACUCCUAGCUGGUAUGCGAGGAUGAGCAGCCACACUGGGACUGAGACACGGCCCAGACUCCUACGGGAGGCAGCAGUCGGGAAUAUUGGACGAUGGGCGAAAGCCUGAUCCAGCCAUGCCGCGUGAGUGUUGAAGGCCCUAGGGUUGUAAAGCUCUUUCACCGAUGAAGAUAAUGACGGUAGUCGGAGAAGAAGCCCCGGCUAACUUCGUGCCAGCAGCCGCGGUAA
Molecule: ribosomal RNA, 447 nt
Filed under: uncultured bacterium
Lineage: Bacteria
Description: partial 16S ribosomal RNA
Rfam family: Bacterial small subunit ribosomal RNA
Source: RNAcentral